Molecule: ribosomal RNA, 484 nt
Filed under: uncultured bacterium
Lineage: Bacteria
Description: partial 16S ribosomal RNA
Rfam family: Bacterial small subunit ribosomal RNA
Source: RNAcentral
AUUGAACGCUGGCGGCAGGCCUAACACAUGCAAGUCGAGCGGAUGAAGGGAGCUUGCUCCUGGAUUCAGCGGCGGACGGGUGAGUAAUGCCUAGGAAUCUGCCUGGUAGUGGGGGAUAACGUCCGGAAAUGGGCGCUAAUACCGCAUACGUCCUGAGGGAGAAAGUGGGGGAUCUUCGGACCUCACGCUAUCAGAUGAGCCUAGGUCGGAUUAGCUAGUUGGUGGGGUAAAGGCCUACCAAGGCGACGAUCCGUAACUGGUCUGAGAGGAUGAUCAGUCACACUGGAACUGAGACACGGUCCAGACUCCUACGGGAGGCAGCAGUGGGGAAUAUUGGACAAUGGGCGAAGGCCUGAUCCAGCCAUGCCGCGUGUGUGAAGAAGGUCUUCGGAUUGUAAAGCACUUUAAGUUGGGAGGAAGGGCAGUAAGUUAAUACCUUGCUGUUUUGACGUUACCAACAGAAUAAGCACCGGCUAACUUCGUG